GAUGAACGCUGGCGGCGUGCCUAAUACAUGCAAGUCGAGCGAACAGAUGAGGAGCUUGCUCCUCUGACGUUAGCGGCGGACGGGUGAGUAACACGUGGAUAACCUACCUAUAAGACUGGGAUAACUUCGGGAAACCGGAGCUUAUACCGGAUAAUAUAUUGAACCGCAUGGUUCAAUAGUGAAAGACGGUUUUGCUGUCACUUAUAGAUGGAUCCGCGCCGCAUUAGCUAGUUGGUAAGGUAACGGCUUACCAAGGCAACGAUGCGUAGCCGACCUGAGAGGGGGAUCAGCCAAACUGGAAAUGAGACACGGGCCCGACUCCUAAGGGAGGGAGAAGGGGGGAAUAUUGCCCAAUGGGCGGAAGCCUGAACGAGCCAACCCGGGGGGGGGAAGAAGGCUUUCGGGGUCGAAAACCCUUUUUUUGGGGAAAAAAAAAAGUUGGAAAAAACCACGCAGUUCUGACGGUACCCAAAGAAGAAGCCCCGGCUAAAUUAGUG
RNAcentral lists this ribosomal RNA (497 nucleotides) under uncultured bacterium. Its description in RNAcentral is "partial 16S ribosomal RNA". It matches the Rfam family "Bacterial small subunit ribosomal RNA", at positions 28 to 507 of the family's 1533-position model. The record is from RNAcentral.